GAUGAACGCUGGCGGCGUGCCUAAUACAUGCAAGUCGAGCGAACGGACGAGAAUCUUGCUUUUCUGAUGUUAGCGGCGGACGGGUGAGUCACACGUGGAUAACCUACCUAUAAGACUGGGAUAACUUCGGGAAACCGGAUCUCACACAGGAUAAUAUUUUGAACCGCAUGGUUCAACAGUGAAAGACGGUCUUGCUGUCACUUAUAGAUGGAUCCGAGCUGCAUUAGCUAGUUGGUAAGGUAACGGCUUACCAAGGCAACCAUGCUUAGCCGACCUGGGAGGGUGAUCGGCCAAACGUGAAAUUGAACACGGUCCAGACUCCUACGGGAGGGAGCAGUAGGGAAUCUUCCGCAAUGGGCGAAAGCCUGACGGAGCAACGGCGCGUGAUUGAUGAAGGUCUUCGGAUCUGAAAACUCUGUUAUGAGGGAAGAACAUAUGUGUAAGUAACUGUGCACAUCGAGACGGUACCUAAUCAGAAAGGCACGGCUAACUACGUG
This 497-nucleotide ribosomal RNA is filed under the name uncultured bacterium. RNAcentral's name for it is "partial 16S ribosomal RNA". It matches the Rfam family "Bacterial small subunit ribosomal RNA", at positions 28 to 507 of the family's 1533-position model. The record is from RNAcentral.